GAAGGCAUUCUGCCAAGAACGUUUUCAUUAAUCAAGAACGAAAGUUAGGGGAUCGAAACAUGAUCAGAUACCGUCGUACUCUUAACCAUAAACUAUGCCGACUAGGGAUCGGGUGUUGUUCUUUUNNGNGACUCACUCGGCACCUUACGAGANNUCAAAGUCUUUGGGUUCUGGGGGGAGUAUGGUCGCAAGGCUGAAACUUAAAGGAAUUGACGGAAGGGCACCACCAGGAGUGGAGCCUGCGGCUUAAUUNNACUCAACACGGGGAAACUCACCAGGUCCAGACACAAUAAGGAUUGACAGAUUGAGAGCUCUUUCUUGAUUUUGUGGGUGGUGGUGCAUGGCCGUUCUUAGUUGGUGGAGUGAUUUGUCUGCNCUAAUUCCGAUAACGAACGAGACCUUAACCUACUAAAUAGUGGUACUAGCUUUUGCUGGUUUUCCACUUCUUACAGGGACUAUCUAUUUCAAGUANAUGGAAAUUUGAGGCAAUAACANGUCUGUGAUGCCCUUAGACGUUCUGGGCCGCACGCGCGCUACACUGACGGAGCCAGCGAGUUUUAUCCCUGNGCCGAGAGGUCCUGGUAAAUCUUGUGAAACUCCCCUCGUGUUGGGGAAUAAAANNAUUUGCCAAUUAUUGCCUCCUUCCAACGAGGAAAUUCCUUAG
RNAcentral lists this ribosomal RNA (664 nucleotides) under [Candida] sp. JadMP429. RNAcentral describes it as "SSU rRNA". It matches the Rfam family "Eukaryotic small subunit ribosomal RNA", at positions 947 to 1620 of the family's 1831-position model. Lineage: Eukaryota; Fungi; Ascomycota; Saccharomycetes; Saccharomycetales. The record is from RNAcentral.